RNAcentral lists this ribosomal RNA (521 nucleotides) under uncultured bacterium. Its description in RNAcentral is "bacterial SSU rRNA". It matches the Rfam family "Bacterial small subunit ribosomal RNA", at positions 366 to 895 of the family's 1533-position model. The record is from RNAcentral.
GCGCAAUGGGCGGAAGCCUGACGCAGCGACGCCGCGUGGGGGAUGACGGCCUUCGGGUUGUAAACCUCUUUCGCCAGGGACGAAGCUUUUGUGACGGUACCUGGAGAAGAAGCACCGGCCAACUACGUGCCAGCAGCCGCAGUAACACGUAGGGUGCGAGCGUUGUCCGGAAUUAUUGGGCGUAAAGAGCUCGUAGGCGGUGUGUCGCGUCGGCCGUGAAAACUUGGGGCUUAACUCUGAGCGUGCGGUCGAUACGGGCAUCACUUGAGUUCGGCAGGGGAGACUGGAAUUCCUGGUGUAGCGGUGAAAUGCGCAGAUAUCAGGAGGAACACCGGUGGCGAAGGCGGGUCUCUGGGCCGAUACUGACGCUGAGGAGCGAAAGCGUGGGGAGCGAACAGGAUUAGAUACCCUGGUAGUCCACGCCGUAAACGUUGGGCGCUAGGUGUGGGGACUGUUUCCACGGUUUUCGUGCCGUAGCUAACGCAUUAAGCGCCCCGCCUGGGGAGUACGGCCGCAAGGCU